GCUGCCCAUUCCGGCGGAGGAGAACGGGCCCAGACUCCAUGAUAAAUAUUUCCAAGGGGUGGGAUCCGAGACUCCAGAGUGGAAAGCCGAAGCGUUUCCAGCUGGCCAAUCCCACUGACCGAAGGAUGGGAUUGAAUCUCAUUCUUCAUUAGACAUCCGAACGUAACAGAUACGAUUCCCUAUGGUAGGCAGUGGGAUACCCCGUCGCUCGGUUACCAAACGAAAUAACCAAGCAGCUCUCCAAUUGGAUAUCCCUCUCGGUUAGAUUUCUUAAAGCGCUCUAUCGGUUCUUUGGCCAUCCAGUGAUGGACUGUAAAAAUGGCCAAGGUAGAUCGUCCACUUUUACAGUCCAUCACAUCCGGGAUAUACAAUAUCCCGGGUGUGGUAUGGUGACUUAAUUGAAACUUAGUCUAACCUCCGAUUAGAAAAGCGUAAAAUAAAGAAAAAUAAGACAGUUAAUUAUCUAAGAGGCAAUCAUUUGGCAGAUAAGAAGCUGGCUCAGGCUUUGCCGACAUUAUCCUGGAGGUAGUAUUACUCGCUCUCUCAUAAAUUGGAUGAUGCAUUUAUUAUAUUUAUCUGAAAUUUAAUAAAUUUCAAAUAAUCGUGACUUCCGAAGUGACAGCGCUGGCAUGGAUGGUGUCAGAUAGGUGCAUCAGUGUCGUUUAUACACUUGUAUUAAAAUAGCCUUAAUUUGAAAGUAUUGGCAGUAUCGUACUCCAUUCUCUCUAUUAAUCCGCUCACGAGACGCUUUAGCGACUAUUUUCAAUUUACUACUAUAAAGAUCCGGAACCACGAGCAGAAUGAAAUACAGUAUUGUGUGGUGGGAAGCGACGGAGCAUUUAAUCCGGGAGCGAAGAAAACGAGAACAAAGCUUUCAGUUUGAAAGUAUUUUGGGAGUGUGAAACACAUCUGUCCGUUAAAAACGUGCAAAAAUAUAUUUGCUCCAAGCGCAGAAACCUCUCCCUACGGCGCUGUAUGUGGUAGGUGCCACUAAUCACAAUUUCAAUAGCUUUCGAGAAAAUGUUUUGAGUAUUUUUGCACCAAUCAAUCAAAUCGGCCGGCCAUAAAAUUUUACAAUAUAAUGUAUUCCUUCAAACUAACCUGUUCGGCCGAAAUUGGCCCAUCAUUCGAAUAUUAGCUUUUAGCCUAACUAAUCGCCGAUCCACUUAACCGAAUGAUCAUUCCAAAACAUGCGCAGACACGCUGCUUUCAGGCCAAGCCUGGCCAGGCAAAAUUGUUUGCGCCAACUUUAAACUUUUGCCACCGGGCAGAAUACUUAUUAAUAUCCAAGAAGAAUAUAUAUCAGUUAUUAAUAUUCACCCGAAGAAUAUUAAUAACUGGUGUAUAUUUUUCUCCAAAAUUAUACAAAAAUAGAGGAAAAAAUCUGACAAUUUUUUAUAUAAUGCGAUAUUUGUAGUUUCUUUAACUAUACUCCGUCUCACUGUCAGCUGAUAGUGACGUUCGCGAUCUUUGGUUGUAACUAUCC
RNAcentral lists this long non-coding RNA (1486 nucleotides) under Androctonus crassicauda. The record is from RNAcentral. Lineage: Eukaryota; Metazoa; Arthropoda; Arachnida; Scorpiones; Buthidae.